UAGGGAAUAUUGGUCAAUGGGCGCAAGCCUGAACCAGCCAUGCCGCGUGCAGGAUGACGGCCCUAUGGGUUGUAAACUGCUUUUGUACGGGAAGAAUAAGCUCUACGUGUAGAGUGAUGACGGUACCGUAAGAAUAAGGAUCGGCUAACUCCGUGCCAGCAGCCGCGGUAAUACGGAGGAUCCAAGCGUUGUCCGGAUUUAUUGGGUUUAAAGGGUGCGUAGGCGGUUUGAUAAGUCAGUGGUGAAAGUUUGCGGCUUAACCGUAAAAUUGCCAUUGAAACUGUCGAACUUGAGUAUGGUUGAGGUAGCUGGAAUGUGUCAUGUAGCGGUGAAAUGCUUAGAUAUGAUACAGAACACCAAUUGCGAAGGCAGGUUACUAAACCAUAACUGACGCUGAGGCACGAAAGCAUGGGGAUCAAACAGG
This 424-nucleotide ribosomal RNA is filed under the name uncultured bacterium. RNAcentral describes it as "bacterial SSU rRNA". It matches the Rfam family "Bacterial small subunit ribosomal RNA", at positions 355 to 776 of the family's 1533-position model. The record is from RNAcentral.